Molecule: ribosomal RNA, 461 nt
Filed under: uncultured bacterium
Lineage: Bacteria
Description: bacterial SSU rRNA
Rfam family: Bacterial small subunit ribosomal RNA
Source: RNAcentral
AGGGUUUGAUCAUGGCUCAGAACGAACGCUGGCGGAAUGCUUUACACAUGCAAGUCGAACGAGUACUUUUUACUAGUGGCGAACGGGUGAGUAACGCGUGGGAACCUACCUUGAGGUAAAGAAUAACUACAGGAAACUGUAGCUAAUGCUUUAUGUGCCCUACGGGGGAAAGAUUUAUUGCCUUUUGAGGGGCCCGCGUCAGAUUAGCUUGUUGGUGAGGUAAUGGCUUACCAAGGCUAUGAUCUGUAGCUGGUUUGAGAGGAUGAUCAGCCACAUUGGGACUGAGAUACGGCCCAGACUCCUACGGGAGGCAGCAGUGGGGAAUCUUGGACAAUGGGGGAAACCCUGAUCCAGCAAUUCCGCGUGAAUGAUGAAGGCCUUAGGGUUGUAAAGUUCUUUUAGUAAGGAAGAUGAUGACGGUACUUACAGAAAAAGCUCCGGCUAACUCCGUGCCAGCAGCC